UGCUGAUUAUAUGUUUUUUUUUUCUAGUGUUUUUGUCAUUAUCACUGCUAACCUGAUAGCAGUUGAGGAUAUGAGUCAGUGUGACGGUAAUGUGAGGACUUCAGAACAUCCUGUCUGCUCAUUGGCCGAACAACCUCCUGUUAUUAUGUCUGACGGUAAAGAAAACAAUGAAGUCACAAUCAGCAGAGCUGCGGUCAACUGUGUGUUCACACUUUACUGCGUUUAAUCAGUUUAGUGUUAUGGAAGAUUCCAGAAUGGCUCAUCUGUGCUUGAGGCGGGGUGGUUGGACCACCUAUAGUCUGCACAUCAGAGUUCAUUCAAGCAAACACUCUACUCUACGGACAGCGGACAAGGAUCGGAGACAAUGGCUGCACCACAGAAAGGAGAUUUAUCAGAAUCUGAACGACGGUUGCUGCAGGUCGUAGCUGCUGGUGAUGUACAGGAAGCGGCCCAGCUGCUUGCCGGCGAAGAUGUCAGAGUCAACUGUUUGGAUGAGGUAAAAAAAAAAAAACAUUCCUUUCUUUUAUUAAUAAUAAAUUCCAUUAUUUAUAUCCAUGUGCUUAUUUCAAGAAUUAACCUUUAAAACUGACGAAAGUAUGUCUAAUAUCAAACUGCAAUGUUAAAUUAAAGAG
This is a long non-coding RNA of Cynoglossus semilaevis (tongue sole), 632 nucleotides long. RefSeq lists it as uncharacterized. The transcript has 3 exons. The record is from RefSeq and is a predicted model, not a curated record. Lineage: Eukaryota; Metazoa; Chordata; Actinopteri; Pleuronectiformes; Cynoglossidae.